GAGGGUAUAGCUUAGUGGUAGAGCGCAUGCUUAGCAUGCACGAGGUCCUGGGUUCAAUCCUCAGUACCGCCA
RNAcentral lists this transfer RNA (72 nucleotides) under Camelus bactrianus (Bactrian camel). It matches the Rfam family "tRNA". From Rfam's summary of the family: Transfer RNA (tRNA) molecules are approximately 80 nucleotides in length. Their secondary structure includes four short double-helical elements and three loops (D, anti-codon, and T loops). The record is from Rfam by way of RNAcentral. Lineage: Eukaryota; Metazoa; Chordata; Mammalia; Artiodactyla; Camelidae. RNAcentral also lists the same sequence under 2 other names.